GUGCUUAGGUUAGAAUUGAAAAUCACACCAGAAACUACAGAUUUCUCUCUCUUUCUCUCUCUAUAAUAUCCAGCGUAUUUUUGUGAGUAUUUUAGUACUUCGAGUAUUGCUAUACGGUGCAAGUUCUUUUAGCACUAUAUCCAGUAUUCCAGUCAGAAGUACUAUUCUUUCUGAGGUAAGGGAGGUUAUUUUCUUCUAAAAUGAUAUUAUUUCUUCAAUAUCAUUAUGCCAGAAUGUUGGUUGGAAAUUUUUAUCAAAUUUAGAACUUUUUCAUGUCGGG
This 280-nucleotide long non-coding RNA is filed under the name Panax ginseng (ginseng). RNAcentral describes it as "long non-coding RNA (PGIN_LNC016774)". The record is from RNAcentral. Lineage: Eukaryota; Viridiplantae; Streptophyta; Magnoliopsida; Apiales; Araliaceae.